This 468-nucleotide ribosomal RNA is filed under the name uncultured bacterium. RNAcentral's name for it is "partial 16S ribosomal RNA". It matches the Rfam family "Bacterial small subunit ribosomal RNA", at positions 28 to 507 of the family's 1533-position model. The record is from RNAcentral.
GAUGAACGCUGGCGGCGUGCCUAACACAUGCAAGUCGAACGGAAAGGCCCUGAUCUUGUGGGUUGCUCGAGUGGCGAACGUGUGAGUAUCACGUGAGUAACCUGCCCUUGACUUUGGGGUAACUUCAGGAAACUGGGGCUAAUAUCGGAUAUGAGCUCCUGCUGCAUGGUGGGGGUUGGUAAGUUUCGGCGGUUGGGGCUGGACUCGCGGCUUAUCAGCUUGUUGGUGGGGUAGUGGCUUACCAAGGUUUUGACGGGUAGCCGGCCUGAGCGGGUGACCGGCCACAUUGGGACUGAGAUAAGGCCCAGACUCCUACUGUAGGCAGCAGUGGGAAAUAUUGCACAAUGGGCGGAAGGCGGAUGCAGCAGCGCCGCGUGCGGGAUAACGGCCUUCGGGUUGUAAACCGCUUGCGCCUGUGACGAAGCGUGAGUGACGGUUAUGGGUAAAGAAGCCCCGGCUAAAUACGUG